AUUAGCGACUUAGCACUACACCCUUUGUGACAUACCUACAACUGUUGCUUCGGCGGGUAGGGUCUCCGCGACCCUCCCGGCCUCCCGCCUCCGGGCGGGUCGGCGCCCGCCGGAGGAUAACCAAACUCUGAUUUAACGACGUUUCUUCUGAGUGGUACAAGCAAAUAAUCAAAACUUUUAACAACGGAUCUCUUGGUUCUGGCAUCGAUGAAGAACGCAGCGAAAUGCGAUAAGUAAUGUGAAUUGCAGAAUUCAGUGAAUCAUCGAAUCUUUGAACGCACAUUGCGCCCGCCAGCAUUCUGGCGGGCAUGCCUGUUCGAGCGUCAUUUCAACCCUCAAGCUCUGCUUGGUGUUGGGGCCCUACAGCCGAUGUAGGCCCUCAAAGGUAGUGGCGGACCCUCCCGGAGCCUCCUUUGCGUAGUAACUUUACGUCUCGCACUGGGAUCCGGAGGGACUCUUGCCGUAAAACCCCCCAAUUUUCCAAAGGUUGACCUCGGAUCAGGUAGGAAUACCCGCUGAACUUAAGCAUAUCAUAAGGGGGGAGGA
RNAcentral lists this ribosomal RNA (546 nucleotides) under Colletotrichum gloeosporioides. Its description in RNAcentral is "eukaryotic LSU rRNA". The stretch from base 173 to 326 matches the Rfam family "5.8S ribosomal RNA". The record is from RNAcentral. Lineage: Eukaryota; Fungi; Ascomycota; Sordariomycetes; Glomerellales; Glomerellaceae.